RNAcentral lists this ribosomal RNA (559 nucleotides) under uncultured bacterium. RNAcentral describes it as "bacterial SSU rRNA". It matches the Rfam family "Bacterial small subunit ribosomal RNA", at positions 8 to 564 of the family's 1533-position model. The record is from RNAcentral.
AGAGUUUGAUCCUGGCUCAGAACGAACGCUGGCGGCGUGCUUAACACAUGCAAGUCGAACGGGGUUAUACGGAGAAAUUGGUUUCGGCUGGUGGAUUUGUAUAACUUAGUGGCGGACGGGUGAGGGACACGUAGGUAACCAAUCCUGAAGCGGGGGACAACUGCGGGAAACCGGAGCUAAUACCGCAUAAGACCACAGGCUGGAAGGCUGGUGGUAAAAGGAGCAAUUCACUUCAGGCUGGGCCUGCGGCCUAUCAGGUAGUUGGUGGGGUAAGAGCCUACCAAGCCAGAGACGGGUAGCCGGACUGAGAGGUUGAACGGCCACACUGGAACUGAGACACGGUCCAGACUCCUACGGGAGGCAGCAGUGGGGAAUUUUGCGCAAUGGGGGAAACCCUGACGCAGCGACGCCGCGUGGAGGAUGAAGGUUUUCGGAUUGUAAACUCCUUUUGUAGGGGAAAAUAGUGAUGGUACCCUACGAAUAAGCCACGGCUAACUCUGUGCCAACAGCCGCGGUAAGACAGAGGUGGCAAGCGUUGUUCGGAAUUACUGGGCUUAAA